UACGUAGGGGGCGAGCGUUGUCCGGAAUCAUUGGGCGUAAAGCGCGUGUAGGCGGCCCGGUAAGUCCGCUGUGAAAGUCCAGGGCUCAACCCUGGGAUGCCGGUGGAUACUGUCGGGCUAGAAUCCGGAAGAGGCGAGUGGAAUUCCUGGUGUAGCGGUGGAAUGCGCAGAUAUCAGGAGGAACACCAAUAGCGAAGGCAGCUCGCUGGGACGGUAUUGACGCUAAGGCGCGAAAGCGUGGGGAGCAAACAGG
This 253-nucleotide ribosomal RNA is filed under the name uncultured bacterium. RNAcentral's name for it is "partial 16S ribosomal RNA". It matches the Rfam family "Bacterial small subunit ribosomal RNA", at positions 524 to 776 of the family's 1533-position model. The record is from RNAcentral.